Molecule: unclassified non-coding RNA, 231 nt
Filed under: fungal sp.
Lineage: Eukaryota; Fungi
Description: partial internal transcribed spacer region
Rfam family: Eukaryotic small subunit ribosomal RNA (bases 1-47)
Source: RNAcentral
AAAGUCGUAACAAGGUAUCCGUAGGUGAACCUGCGGAUGGAUCAUUAAUGAGCAGGAGGAUUGAGACCGAUGUGGUUGAAAGAGGAAGAAGAAGGACCAUGAGUGUGCGGGAGAGAGAGAGAGAGACCCGCACUCGUCCAAUACUACAACACACUAGUCAUUGAAUCUUGUUCAUGUCAUAUUAUUCAUUCUAAUCCAAUACAACUGCUAGCAACGGAUCACUCGGCUCUC